This is a ribosomal RNA of Melopsittacus undulatus (budgerigar), 119 nucleotides long. Lineage: Eukaryota; Metazoa; Chordata; Aves; Psittaciformes; Psittaculidae. The record is from Ensembl.
GCCUAUGGCCUUACCAUCCUGGAAACACCUGAUCUUGUCUAAUCUCAGAAGCAAAGCAGGGUUGGGCUCGGUUAGUACUUGGAUGGGAGACCAUCUGGGAAUCCCAAAUGCUGUAGUCU